Long non-coding RNA from Carassius auratus (goldfish), 724 nucleotides. RefSeq lists it as uncharacterized. Lineage: Eukaryota; Metazoa; Chordata; Actinopteri; Cypriniformes; Cyprinidae. The transcript has 2 exons. The record is from RefSeq and is a predicted model, not a curated record.
UCAUUGAUUCAGAUCGGGACUUCGGAGCAUCGCGAAUCAUUGAUUCAGAUCGGGACUUCGGAUCAUUUGAUCAUUUUGCUAAUUAAAUGAUUGGCAAACCUGAGUCCUGAUCUGAACUUAUGGUUUUGCAAAUUGUUUUUCAGAUUGGGACUCAUUUUAAUAAUUUAUUCAGAGGAGUGACAAAACAGCUGUUGUUAAUCUGUUGUAAUCUGUUGUUUGAGCUCUUCAUAUUUAAGGAGAGAACUAUAGUUUUCAAAGUCGGACAUCACUUGUUAUGAUUUUCAAGGGUGUAGAAUUUAGUAGAGACACUAUGACAUGUCCCUACCAAUAUCAGCCACUACUAAAUUGUUCCUAGCAAUCAUUUUGAUCAAACAAUGUCCUCUCUGAGAAAGUCCGCUGUCUGCAGCAUCUCUGUCGGCUGAAGAUCAGGGCUUGUUUGGGUCGGUUGCGUUUGAGAGCUCCGAUCUUCAUGAGCUUCCUUCCAUUACCAGAACGACUGAAGCAAUACAUCCUGUACAAAGAAUAUGAUCUCUACGCUCAGAAAUGACAAAACAAAGCAAAUAAACCAGAAUUCACACCUGUAGAAACACCUGCACCUGUUAUGUGCACAUUUUUUAAAUACAGUUAAUAUGUAACACAAAGAGUCUUAAUGUUAACGAAUAUGUAAAGAACUCAAUAAUUUAUUCAAUGAAAUAAAUGUUUUAAUAAAAUAUAGCCAUUGAUG